AUGCAGACCUCACGCGGGAGCCUCCGUUCACCUUUCCUUCCUUCUCCUCCACCCGCCCAGCUUGCCUUAGGCUUCCUUCUGGUGCAGUCUCUCAGCCACAAAGAUACAUCUGUUGUAGGCAUCCGUGGCUGAGUCCUCAUGUCCAUCCCGUUCUAGUCCGUCCUACACGCUGCACCAGAGGGAUAUUUCCAAAACGAAAACUUCAUCGUGGUCUUCACCUGCUCACAUCUCUUCUAUGGCUCCCCAUUACUCUGAUGAAAAAAGGCAAACUCUUUAGUCUGGUAUACAGGGCUUGCCAUUCUGCGGGCACUGUGUCUUUACACCGCAUGUCCCUAUGAACGCCCCCCACCAAGCUGUUUAGACAUACCCUCAGUGCCUUUUUACUUUCCCUUUCCUCUCUUCUCCACUUGGUAAACAUUUUUGUUUUAGGAAUCAGUUCAAAAGCUACCAACUUUGUCUUCUAAGUUCUCACGUUGGAGCAUCCAUGGCUUGGAAGAUGUGGCCGUCUGGAUUCUCACGUAUGGCAAGUUCAGGCUGGAGUUGAGUGGCCACUGCUGUUCGUAAGAUGGGGCAUCUGCUCUCCAGUUCACCGUAGUCCCUACACGCCCAAAUGACAGUGCUGCCCUAAGACACAGCUCGGAAAACCAAUAUUGGGUGUCGACAAGAGCUGG
This 671-nucleotide long non-coding RNA is filed under the name Equus asinus (donkey). Its description in RNAcentral is "lncRNA (ENSEASG00005032073.1)". Lineage: Eukaryota; Metazoa; Chordata; Mammalia; Perissodactyla; Equidae. The record is from RNAcentral.